This 408-nucleotide ribosomal RNA is filed under the name Humerana miopus. Its description in RNAcentral is "partial 16S ribosomal RNA". It matches the Rfam family "Bacterial large subunit ribosomal RNA", at positions 1835 to 2459 of the family's 2925-position model. Lineage: Eukaryota; Metazoa; Chordata; Amphibia; Anura; Ranidae. The record is from RNAcentral.
CUUGCUAAACAUAAGAGGUCCAGCCUGCCCAGUGACUCAGUUUAACGGCCGCGGUAUCCUAACCGUGCGAAGGUAGCAUAAUCACUUGUUCUCUAAAUAAGGACUAGUAUCAACGGCAUCACGAGGGCUACACUGUCUCCUUUCUCCAAUCAGUGAAACUGAUCUCCCCGUGAAGAAGCGGGAAUAAAAAUAUAAGACGAGAAGACCCCAUGGAGCUUCAAGCACCGUAUUCAUCUACUUUUUUCCACAGCAACUUAACUUUAAACCUGAAUACUAGCUUUUGGCUGGGGGGGCCGCGGAGUACAACCUAACCUCCGCAACAAAUGGGCUACGCCUUUAUCUAUGAAUUACCACUCUAAGAAUUAACAAAUUAAUGUACUUUGACCCGACUAAUCGAUCAACGAACCA